RNAcentral lists this ribosomal RNA (465 nucleotides) under uncultured bacterium. RNAcentral's name for it is "partial 16S ribosomal RNA". It matches the Rfam family "Bacterial small subunit ribosomal RNA", at positions 338 to 795 of the family's 1533-position model. The record is from RNAcentral.
CCUACGGGAGGUAGCAGUAGGGAAUUUUCGUCAAUGGGCGCAAGCCUGAACGAGCAAUGCCGCGUGAACGAGGAAGGUCUUCGGAUCGUAAAGUUCUGUUGAAGGGGAAAAAGAGCGGAGAGAGGAAAUGGUCUCCGAUUGAUAUUACCCUUCGAGGAAGUCACGGCUAACUACGUGCCAGCAGCCGCGGUAAUACGUAGGUGGCGAGCGUUAUCCGGAAUGAUUGGGCGUAAAGGGUGCGUAGGCGGCCUGCUAAGUCUGGAGUGAAAGGUACCGGCUCAACCGGUACAGGCUCUGGAAACGGGCGGGCUAGAGAGCAGGAGAGGGCGGUGGAACUCCAUGGGUAGCGGUAAAAUGCGUAGAUAUAUGGAAGAACACCAGUGGCGAAGGCGGCCGCCUGGCCUGUUGACUGACGCUGAGGCACGAAAGCGUGGGGAGCAAAUAGGAUUAGAUACCCCAGUAGUC